Molecule: long non-coding RNA, 1037 nt
Filed under: Macaca mulatta (Rhesus monkey)
Lineage: Eukaryota; Metazoa; Chordata; Mammalia; Primates; Cercopithecidae
Description: lncRNA (ENSMMUG00000052089.1)
Source: RNAcentral
GGCAAGGGUGUACAAUUACAUAGUGAGGUUAAUAUACUGAUGCUCAAGUCUAUUUAAAUAAACCAACAAUCUCUGUGGGUCUAAUUUUCCAAAGUGGUGAUUAGGGUUUUUGUUUUGUUUGUUCGUUUUUUUUGACAGGGUCUCACUCUGUCACCCAAGCUGGAAUGCAGCAGCAUGAUCACAGCUCAUUGCAGCCUUGACCUCCCAGGCUCAAGCAAUCCUCCCAUCUUAGCCUCCUGAAUAGCUGUGACCACAGGCACAUACCACCAUUUAACCAGGCAUGGUGGUGUGUGCCUGUGGUCCCAGCUACAGUGUCUCUCUAUAUUGUCCAGGCUUGUCUUGAGCUCCUGGGCUCAAGUAAUCUUCUGUCUCAACAUCCCGAAGUCAUUUCCCAAAAAAGCCCUCUGAAUCUCAACCACAUCCUCCAUCCAGCCCCAGAGUUAGAUCGUCCACCUGCAGCCCUUGCCGUAGCGUCAACUUGCUCCUCAUGGCAGCGGCCCCAUGGGAGACCUGCUGGCUGUAAACAUCCAGCUAUUUUCUAUAUCCUACACUGGGAGCAUGUGAAAAUAUCUGGAUACAUUUAUGCCAGGUAAAAGCUGAGGGAGACUUGGCCCUCUCUUUGCCUGGAUCUGCCUUGCAUCCAUUUUUCUUCUGUUAUGAUUAUCUCUUGUUGGUGAGGGGGCACUCAGAAAGGUGAUUGUUUUAGUCUAUUUUCUGUUACUCAGAGAAAUUUAUAAAGAAAAGACAUCUAUUUCUCAUAGUUCUGGAGGCUGACAAGUCCAAGAGCAUGGCACCAACAUCUGAUGAAGGUCAUCCCAUGGCAGAAGGACAGAAGGCUGAAGCAAACAUGUGAGACAGAGAGAAGAAAUCAGGUAAAACUCACUUUUAUUACAAAUUCAGUCUCGUGAUAACUAACCCACUUCUGCAAUAAGGGCGUGAAUCCAUUCAUGAUGGAUCUGCCAUCACCUAAUCAUCUCUUAAAGGCCCCACAUCAAUUAAAAGUCAACAUGAGUUUGGGAGCAGACAAACAUUUAAAC